CAUGAAAUUGACAACGUCAUCAUAGGUCAAAUAGCGAUAAACAGAUUAUCAUUGGUCAUCUCAACUCGAUUGCUUUUCUCACUUUCGCCGUACCGGCUCAAAGAUAAUUAUACAUUAUCAUUGGUUAUCUCAACGAGAUUGAUCGUCUCGCUUGAGCCUGUAUGACAAAAGUGAGAAAAGCAAUCUAGUUGAGAUGACCAAUGAUAAUCUGUUUAUCGCUAUUUUACCUAAGAAGACGUUGUUUAUUUCCUUGACAACAGCACAUGUUCCCUUAGUUUCAAGCAAUAAUUUUCAUAUCACUAGACUCCAUUUUCAUAUCACUGGACUCCGUUGAGAAAGGAAAUUAUCAGUCAGCAAGAUUAAUGAAAUUUUCGUAAAAUAGCGAUAAUCUUUAAUUAUAGCAAGACAGUAGAAAUGGACAAAAAUGAAGUUUAAAAUGAGUGAUCAAAAUUGAAGGGUGAAAGAAAGAUUUUGGAUAAUAUGAUAUUAUAAUAUGAUUA
RNAcentral lists this long non-coding RNA (500 nucleotides) under Mytilus galloprovincialis (Mediterranean mussel). Lineage: Eukaryota; Metazoa; Mollusca; Bivalvia; Mytilida; Mytilidae. The record is from RNAcentral.